RNAcentral lists this ribosomal RNA (254 nucleotides) under uncultured bacterium. RNAcentral describes it as "partial 16S ribosomal RNA". It matches the Rfam family "Bacterial small subunit ribosomal RNA", at positions 524 to 776 of the family's 1533-position model. The record is from RNAcentral.
UACGGGGGGAGCAAGCGUUGUUCGGAUUUACUGGGCGUAAAGGGCGCGUAGGCGGUCAGCACAAGUCAGUUGUGAAAUCUCCGGGCUUAACCCGGAAAGGUCAACUGAUACUGUGCGACUAGAGUGCGGAAGGGGCAACUGGAAUUCUCGGUGUAGCGGUGAAAUGCGUAGAGAUCAUGAGGAAGACCAGUGGCGAAGGCGGCUCACUGGCCCGAUACUGACGCUGAGGCACGAAAGCGUGGGGAGCAAACAGG